AAGUCGUAACAAGGUCUCCGUAGGUGAACCUGCGGAGGGAUCAUUACAGAGUUCAUGCCCUUGCGGGUAGAUCUCCCACCCUGUGUUAUUAUUACUUUGUUGCUUUGCGGCGGUCGGCUGGCUCCUGCUCGUACCGGCUUCGGCUGGUAAGCGCCCGCCAGAGGACCCAAAACCCUGAAUAUUAGUGUCGUCUGAGUACUAUAUAAUAGUUAAAA
Molecule: unclassified non-coding RNA, 215 nt
Filed under: plant metagenome
Description: partial contains small subunit ribosomal RNA and internal transcribed spacer 1
Rfam family: Eukaryotic small subunit ribosomal RNA (bases 1-46)
Source: RNAcentral